UUAGCAAAAAUGCUGAUGGCUAUCAUUCUAAGUCAACACUAGGGCAGCUGUACAGCUCAACAGCUGAUUGCCGAGGAAUGCUUAUGUCUCCUUUUUUCUGGUGAGACCUCAGGAUGAGAUAACCAAAUUCCAUCUGGAGAAUGAGCUUCAUGGAAUCAAGCUUUCCAUUCAGUUGUGCCAAAGCCUGAACAUUCUUCUCAUGUGUCAGAUUGAAUUAUGCGCAAAAAUGUGGCGAGGAAAGGAAAGACAGGCUGUGUAAUACAUUAAGCUACCCAAUGCUGCACUGGGACCCUGUGCUCCUGUAUGACCUUGUGGAUUGGCUGGCUAUUUCUGCCCCACUUCUUCCACUUUGAAAGGACUCUCCACUGUACGGAAGUACUGCUGUGCCACAUCCAUCAAGGCAUCAGAUUAAAGGGAGGACAGCAGCUGCAGAGCACGAUGGGAAGUUUCUGAGCCAUCCACAUGCAGUUUUCUAACUCAACCCAGAAGUGGGGCACAUUAGCUUUGACGUUAUAUGUCAGGAAGUUUUUUACCGCCCUGAAGAGUUACAAGUAGCGAUACAACAUGACACAUGGAUUACUAUGUUGUACAUUUAAUGGUGCACUUGGUUUGUUUUAAGAUGAAACAAUAAAGUGUCUCUAAAAAUACACUAAGCAUUUGGACUGCACUGAUGAUUCAUGUACUCCAAACAUCUCUCUCUCUCUCUCUCUCUCUCUCUCUCUCUAUCUUGCACAUAGCAAUCAUAGGCACAAAUAUAAACCUGUGCUUUCAGUCAGAACAAUGUGAGGGGGCUGGGUCAGUGACUCUCAAAGGGUCUUACAUCACAUUCCAGAGCCCAUUUCACUGAACAUCCAUUCAUUCACUACUAGAGAAGAUCCACUCAGAGAUGGU
Long non-coding RNA from Megalobrama amblycephala (Wuchang bream), 891 nucleotides. RefSeq lists it as uncharacterized. The record is from RefSeq and is a predicted model, not a curated record. NCBI's taxonomy places the organism in Eukaryota, Metazoa, Chordata, Actinopteri, Cypriniformes, Xenocyprididae. The transcript has 3 exons.